Long non-coding RNA from Orcinus orca (killer whale), 3968 nucleotides. RefSeq lists it as uncharacterized. Lineage: Eukaryota; Metazoa; Chordata; Mammalia; Artiodactyla; Delphinidae. The transcript has 3 exons. The record is from RefSeq and is a predicted model, not a curated record.
AAAAAAAAAAAAAAACAACUCUCUAAAAAUCAGAGCAUCGUCACGACGUUCCAAGGCUCCUUUCCCCCCCACCAUGAUCAAUGCUGACAUUCACCUCAACUUCAUUCCUUGGUCUGUUGUAUAUACUAUUCAUGACCUAUGGGAAGAGGGCACACCCCUUCUUGUGGAGGUCAACUUUGGCCAUAUAACGGGGCUGACUUUGGUCAAUGAAACGUGAGUGGAAGUGGCUCCUGUCCCUCCGAGAGGAAGCUUUAAGAAUCCCCAGGUCCCUCUUGCCUCUGCCACAAGACAGCCGUGAUUCGGAUGGUGGCCGGUCCAUCAGCCCAGGGUCCUGAGACACGAGCGCUCACCCAGAAUGGACAUGACAUAAAUAAAUUGCGUGGCUCUGGAGAAGCACUUAGUAGUGUGGAGAGAGAAGAAUGUGUCAUCAGCCAUGGCCCCUAAGCGGCCAUUGAUGAUGAAAUGUAAGAUCACAGCAUUAAUCUCCUUUAAUAUCAAACUAUUCCUGGUUCUCUGAAAUAGAAGCAUAGGAAUUAUAAUUAAGGACAGACAAAAAAAGUUCACAUCCUCUUCCUUGCACUAGCAGAAGGGGCUACAAUGCCAGAUGCAAGGAUUUGGGCAUCUACGAAGACAAUACCCACAUGAUGCACCAUAAAAAUUCUGUAAACUUUUCAACAGCAUAUGUUUUGGCCUUAGUAUAGUUACCAAAUAUAAUACCAGUUAUAGUAAUUCUGUAUGUACUCCUCAGCAGUAAUAGUUUCUAACAUGGCUUUAUAGUUUUAAGAAAUUAAUAAAUGUAUAAUGAACAGUUGCAUGCUAUAAGAGUUGGAAUGUAUUAGAGCCGAGUUCCCUUUUGUGUGUGUGUGACAUGGAUUUUAUUGAGUUUAUCCACGAUCGUGAAUACUGUGUUGCCUGGAUACAGUGGGAACACGGGGAAAGUUAAAUGCACUCUUGUUUCUGGAAGGCAAACCAAGAUUCUUGGUACGUUUCGUCUUUCUGCUUCAAGGCGUAGAAAAACCAUUGAAAUGACCCCAGAUGAAGUCCCUCUCAUAAAACAGAGUGGAUUAUGGAACUGCUGUCGGUUGCCUUCUAAUGUGAAAACCAGUCACACGUGACCCCACUAGAAGGCAGACAGAGGCAUAAUAGCACUUUACCUUGUCUGAGUCAUUUUGUAAUUUUCAUGCCCUUAGAUACAAGCAUCUUCAAGAUCUCCUUUUGGAAAUGGCUCCCCAGUCAGACAUCUGAAGAGUGAAAGGCUGCUGCCCAAGACUGCACUUCGUGAAUAUUGAUCAGGACUUUGAUUUCCUUAUCCCAUUUCUGUGACGCUCAACAGGUAAGUUGUAAGAGCUUAAGAAAUAGAUUCCGACUCUGUGCCAAAAACAUCUUUUAAAGAUCUCCUCAGCCAAGCUGGGAAAAUAAGAUGCCCCAAAGAGAACUGAAUAGUAACUUAGGGUUCUUCGUUCAACAUAUACUAACAAGGAUGGCAGACCCUAACCUGUCCCGAUGAGCAGAGCAUUCCAUUUGGUUGCAGUUUUUGCAAGCCUAGGGAUUCUGCCUAAUUUUUAAUAAGUUGAACCUUGCGGUAAAAGAAGAGUUUUAUCUACAGAAUUGAUUCACUAGAUCUGGUUACUGGUUCACAUCUGAAAAUAGUUGUGCUCCACGGAAAGCCUCAUCGAUCUGUCGGAACACAGAGUCAUUGUAUUAUAGUCAAGAACACAAGGUGGUAAUUUGUGUAGCUCCAAACAGUACAGGGAGAUGGAGGUUUGCAGUGCCUGGGCAGUAGCUGUCUUGUAGAAGCACCACCUUUCCCAAUCUAAACAAGGUGCUGACGCCAGCACUCCUUAAAGGGCAGCCAGGGAAAGAAGUUCUUGGUGUUUCUAUAAAGCAAACUUCUCUGCCUGCUCUCCAAAUGCUCUCAGGGCUGGUGAGCUCAAGGUCAGGUUUCUGGCUGGCCUUGUGUUCCAGUCUCUAUACUGGUGCGGCCACACCUUAAAAUUCCUUUCCGCAACCCAGGUUCUCUCCAAAGCUUCCUGGCCAGAAGCCAGGUCCUUCCCUGUUACCCUAGAGCUUCAAGGGAUAAUAACCCUGGUGGGCCAACCUAUCAGCUGUGACAGGGCCCAGGUUAUCCCCGCAAGCCAAGCAUAGGCUGGACCAGAAGCCAGGCUCUGGCCUGAGAGCAGGGGUUCCAGAAAAUCACUCGAGGCUCUACCUGGGGUCUCUUGAGCUGUGUCUGGUACCAUAACCACAGCCAUGGGUAGCUGGGGAGUUGCUGUCCAAUACAGCCUCCUUCAAAAAGUAAACAUCCUGUCCAGAAUCCCAUAAAGCACGAUAUUUCAAGUUCACUAAACUAUUCAAAGCACAAAAAGCCUUCCUUCCAUGGAAAACUCAGUGAUGGUUUUAAAAAAAACACACAAAAAAAACGCCCACUACAGCGCACUGCGCUGUAGCAAGCAUUCUGCAUAAAUUAAUAAUUUACAAGUACCUGAGCAAGUAAAAGUAUACACAGCACCAUAGCACAGCACAGCACCGACGGCAGUAGCUCUAAGUUCUUCAAAUCAUGGUGUUUGAAACAUUAAAAAAAUUCUAAAAGUUGGUACAAAAAGUAACUCCAACUGGAGUUGAGAGAUGGAUAGUGCAAACUUCUGUCUUCACUGUUGAACAACGCUGUUGGCUUGCUUCUCACUUUGCAUAGGCGAUGUGGGUGGCUCUGGGCACUUGAUGGGGCUGUUUGGAAGCAGGUCUGCAGGAAGAGCAACCAGAGAGUAGGAAACAAAACUAUAGUUAGAGGCCCUGCCAGCGAUUUCUGCAGACACAGACACCCGGGUUGGCGAUGCCUUUUCUUGCACUGUGACGCGCUUCCAGGAUCGGACCCCACCCCCUGCCCUGGGGGCUGGAGACCCCUCUUGCUUUCAGCAGGAAUUGCAGAUCCCAGAAGGGACCUCGCUGAGGGCUGCAGCAUCUUCAGCCGUUUAGGACCCUUUCCAAAGCUACUGCUCCCGUCCGUCCACAGGAGAAGAGUGCCAUUCAACAGAAAAAUGGUGCAAGCCACAGAGCCACAGUGUGCCCAGCGGCUACUGUAUUAGUGCAGCUCCAGAGCAAAGCUGGGCAUGUGGGAUCCCUCGGAAAUGAACAUACAGAGGGUUCUCCUUCCAGGAGGAGACCAAAGCCAGCUUGCACUGAUGUCAGCAACUGGCCGCUGCUUGAGGUCCUUUAAAAAGAGAGCCUUCCCCAGAGGAUCUAAACAGACAUUUCUCCAAAGACGACACACAGAUGGCCAAAAAGCACAUGACAAGAUACUCAACAUCACUAAUUAUCGGAGAAAUGUAAAUCAAAACUACAAUGAGGUAUUACCUCACACGAGUCAGAAUGGCCAUCACCAAAAAACUCUACAAACAAUAAAUGCUGGAGAGGGUGUGGAGAAAAGGGAACCCUCCUGCACUGCUGGUAGGAGUGUAAACUGGUGCAGCCACUAUGUUAAAAAACUAAAAACAGAGUUGCCGUAUGAUCCUGCAGUCCCACUCCUGGGCAUAUAUCUAUCUGGAGAAAACCAUAAUUCGAAAAGAUACAUGCACCCCAGUGUUCACUACAGCACUAUUCACAACAGCCCAGACAUGGAAGCAAACCUCCACGUCCGUCAACAUAGAAAUGGAUAAAGAAGAUGUGGUAUAUACACAAUGGAAUACUACUCAGCCGUAAAAAAAAAAGUAUGAACUAAUGCCAUUUGCAGCCACAUGGAUGGACCUACAGAUUAUCAUACUAAGCGAAGUAAGCCAAAGACAAAUAUCAUCUGAUAUCACUCGUGUGGUGUCUAAAAUAUGACACAAAUGAACUUAUCUACUCAACAAAAAGACUCACAGACCUAGAGAACAGACGUGUGGUUUCCAAGGGGGAGGGAGGGUGGGGGAGAGAAGUGGGAGUUUGGGGUUAGCAGAUGCAACCUAUUAUAUGUAGAAUGGAUAAACAACAAG